RNAcentral lists this ribosomal RNA (497 nucleotides) under uncultured bacterium. RNAcentral describes it as "partial 16S ribosomal RNA". It matches the Rfam family "Bacterial small subunit ribosomal RNA", at positions 28 to 507 of the family's 1533-position model. The record is from RNAcentral.
GAUGAACGCUGGCGGCGUGCCUAAUACAUGCAAGUCGAGCGAGCGGACGAGAAGCUUGCUUCUCUGAUGUUAGCGGCGGACGGGUGAGUAACACGUGGAUAACCUACCUAUAAGACUGGGAUAACUUCGGGAAACCGGAGCUAAUACCGGAUAAUAUUUUGAACCGCAUGAUUCAAAAGUGAAAGACGGUCUUGCUGUCACUUAUAGAUGGAUCCGCGCUGCAUUAGCUAGUUGGUAAGGUAACGGCUUACCAAGGCAACGAUGCAUAGCCGACCUGAGAGGGUGAUCGGCCACACUGGAACUGAGACACGGUCCAGACUCCUACGGGAGGCAGCAGUAGGGAAUCUUCCGCAAUGGGCGAAAGCCUGACGGAGCAACGCCGCGUGAGUGAUGAAGGUCUUCGGAUCGUAAAACUCUGUUAUUAGGGAAGAACAUAUGUGUAAGUAACUGUGCACAUCUUGACGGUACCUAAUCAGAAAGCCACGGCUAACUACGUG